AACGUAGGGUGCAAGCGUUGUCCGGAAUUACUGGGUGUAAAGGGAGCGCAGGCGGACCGGAAAGUUGGAAGUGAAAACUAUGGGCUCAACCCAUAAAUUGCUUUCAAAACUGCUGGCCUUGAGUAGUGCAGAGGUAGGUGGAAUUCCCGGUGUAGCGGUGGAAUGCGUAGAUAUCGGGAGGAACACCAGUGGCGAAGGCGACCUACUGGGCACCAACUGACGCUGAGGCUCGAAAGCAUGGGUAGCAAACAGG
This 253-nucleotide ribosomal RNA is filed under the name Gemmiger formicilis. Its description in RNAcentral is "partial 16S ribosomal RNA". It matches the Rfam family "Bacterial small subunit ribosomal RNA", at positions 524 to 776 of the family's 1533-position model. The record is from RNAcentral. Lineage: Bacteria; Bacillati; Bacillota; Clostridia; Eubacteriales; Oscillospiraceae.